Molecule: ribosomal RNA, 198 nt
Filed under: uncultured bacterium
Lineage: Bacteria
Description: partial 16S ribosomal RNA
Rfam family: Bacterial small subunit ribosomal RNA
Source: RNAcentral
ACGCUCGACACCUACAGGAGGCAGCAGUGGGGAAUAUUGCACAAUGGGGGAAACCCUGAUGCAGCAACGCCGCGUGAAGGAAGACGGUUUUCGGAUUGUAAACUUCUGUUCUUAGUGAAGAUAGUGACGGUAGCUAAGGAGCAAGCCACGGCUAACUACGUGCCAGUAGCCGCGGUAAUCUGAGCGGGCUGGCAAGGC